GGUGCUGCAAUAAAAAAUGGUAGGCGAAAGAUUUUAGAGGUUGAUAGUGCAAAUGACAAUUGCUCAUCGUCAGAAUCAAAUAUGGAACUUGUUUCAGCUUCCAUGAUGACGGAAGUGGAUGACACUGGUGAAUGCUCCUCAUCUAGUGUGAUGGUUAUGGAGGUCAAGGGGGAGGAUCUCUCAGAAAAUGAUCUAUGCAUUUCUAUACUUAGAUGCCAGGGGUUGGUUGAAGUUUUGCCUACCAAGAAUGAUGAUUCUGCUGAACAUGCUGGUCCUAGUAGUGGAAGUAGUUGUUCCCGGUCAUGCAAGAUUUGUGGUCAUACAGAUACUACACUGAACAUGCUUAUUUGUGAUAAUUGUGAAGAUGCAUUUCAUGUUUCUUGCCUCAAUCCCCGUAUGAAGAAGAUACUAGAUGAUGAAUGGUUUUGAUAUUCUUGUUUGAAAAAGAUAUGUAAAAUUCCAAUGGAAACUGGAACCAGAAGAUCACUAAGCAUUGCUUGUGAAAUGGGCAGAUGUAGAAAUACAUUGGCUAAAGGUGACUUGAAUCCAAUAGCAUUGAUGUUGAGAGACACUGAAUCAUAUACAAUGGGAGUUCAGUGAUGUUGAUGCCAUAGGUGAACCAGUUGAAAUGAAUCCUUCAGAGUGUGUUACUUCACAUGAGUGGAACUUCAACAAGCUAUAUACACCUAACUCUAUAAGUAAUUGGAUUCAGUGCCGAGAGGUUAUUGAUGGCAUAGGAGAAGGUAUAAAUGGAACUAUAUGUGGAAAGUGGCGCAGGUAAACCAAAUAACAUUCUUCUAUGGCUCCUCUUCGUGAAGUCCAAACUGAUGACUGGGAUUGCUUUCGCUCCGUCCUUUGGGAUCCAUUCCAUGCUGAUUGUGCUGUACCUCAGGGAAAAUAACCGUCAUUUUUCAGAUAUGUUUUGAAUGCUUUUUGUAUUUAUUAGAAAGACACUUUUUGGGAGGAAGAUUAUUUGCAAAAACAAAUCAGUUACGCCUUAAGAGUUAUAAAAGGCCAAUUUUUAAUGGAUGUGACAUUCUUUCUACCUUGGAGCAUUAAUGAACUUUUUUAAAAAUAAUUAACAGAAAUUUUCAGACAUUAGAUCAGGUCAUAACAUAUUGUUCUAUUCUGGCGAUUUUGCUUCUAAAAAAAAAAUCUUAGUUUGGAUUGAUCAUUGGAUUGACUUUUAUAGAUGUUAGAAUCAACGGUGGCCUUUUUAUGUGCAGCCAACUGAAAAACUAAUUGAGCCAAAUAAUUGUUCAAAAAGAAAUGAUGCUAAAUAUUGAAAAAGGAAAUCGAAGUGCAUGUUUAAUCAAAAUGUAUUGAUCACUCUUCUUUUACCAUGUUUGU
Molecule: long non-coding RNA, 1350 nt
Organism: Carya illinoinensis
Lineage: Eukaryota; Viridiplantae; Streptophyta; Magnoliopsida; Fagales; Juglandaceae
Exons: 4
Source: RefSeq, a predicted model, not a curated record